CGGACUUAAAAUCCGUCGAAUUGAAAAAUCGUG
RNAcentral lists this transfer RNA (33 nucleotides) under Ponthieva triloba. RNAcentral's name for it is "partial transfer RNA-Leu". Lineage: Eukaryota; Viridiplantae; Streptophyta; Magnoliopsida; Asparagales; Orchidaceae. The record is from RNAcentral.